Molecule: ribosomal RNA, 497 nt
Filed under: uncultured bacterium
Lineage: Bacteria
Description: partial 16S ribosomal RNA
Rfam family: Bacterial small subunit ribosomal RNA
Source: RNAcentral
GAUGAACGCUGGCGGCGUGCCUAAUACAUGCAAGUCGAGCGAACGGACGAGAAGCUUGCGUCUCUGAUGUUAGCGGCGGACGGGUGAGUAACACGUGGAUAACCUACCUAUAAGACUGGGAUAACUUCGGGAAACCGUAGCUAAUACCGGAUAAUAUUUUGAACCGCAUGGUUCAAAAGUGAAAGACGGUCUUGCUGCCACUUAUAGAUGGAUCCGCGCUGCAUUAGCUAGUUGGUAAGGUAACGGCUUACCAAGGCAACGAUGCAUAGCCGACCUGAGAGGGUGAUCGGCCACACUGGAACUGAGACACGGUCCAGACUCCUACGGGAGGCAGCAGUAGGGAAUCUUCCGCAAUGGGCGAAAGCCUGACGGAGCAACGCCGCGUGAGUGAUGAAGGUCUUCGGAUCGUAAAACUCUGUUAUUAGGGAAGAACAUAUGUGUAAGUAACUGUGCACAUCUUGACGGUACCUAAUCAGAAAGCCACGGCUAACUACGUG